This 432-nucleotide ribosomal RNA is filed under the name uncultured bacterium. RNAcentral's name for it is "bacterial SSU rRNA". It matches the Rfam family "Bacterial small subunit ribosomal RNA", at positions 338 to 785 of the family's 1533-position model. The record is from RNAcentral.
CCUACGGGGGGCAGCAGUGGGGAAUAUUGGGCAAUGGGCGCAAGCCUGACCCAGCAACGCCGCGUGAAGGAAGAAGGCUUUCGGGUUGUAAACUUCUUUUGACAGGGAAGAGUAGAAGACGGUACCUGUCGAAUAAGCCACGGCUAACUACGUGCCAGCAGCCGCGGUAAUACGUAGGUGGCAAGCGUUGUCCGGAUUUACUGGGUGUAAAGGGCGUGUAGCCGGGUUGACAAGUCAGAUGUGAAAUCCUGCGGCUUAACCGCAGAACUGCAUUUGAAACUGUUGAUCUUGAGUACUGGAGAGGCAGACGGAAUUCCUAGUGUAGCGGUGAAAUGCGUAGAUAUUAGGAGGAACACCAGUGGCGAAGGCGGUCUGCUGGACAGCAACUGACGGUGAGGCGCGAAAGCGUGGGGAGCAAACAGGAUUAGAUAC